Molecule: microRNA precursor, 62 nt
Filed under: Daphnia pulex (common water flea)
Lineage: Eukaryota; Metazoa; Arthropoda; Branchiopoda; Diplostraca; Daphniidae
Description: Dpu-Mir-2-P2_pre stem-loop
Source: RNAcentral
CGUCGGAAAGGCUGUGGUGUGUUGCCAUUUUACAAUUUCAUAUCACAGCCAUUCUAGAUGCG